RNAcentral lists this ribosomal RNA (346 nucleotides) under uncultured bacterium. RNAcentral describes it as "partial 16S ribosomal RNA". It matches the Rfam family "Bacterial small subunit ribosomal RNA", at positions 338 to 681 of the family's 1533-position model. The record is from RNAcentral.
CCUACGGGUGGCAGCAGUGAGGAAUAUUGGUCAAUGGACGAGAGUCUGAACCAGCCAAGUAGCGUGAAGGAUGACUGCCCGAUGGGUUGUAAACUUCUUUUAUAGGGGAAUAAAAUGUUCCACGUGUGGGAUUUUGUAUGUACCAUAUGAAUAAGGAUCGGCUAACUCCGUGCCAGCAGCCGCGGUAAGACGGAGGAUCCGAGCGUUAUCCGGAUUUAGUGGGUUUAAAGGGAGCGUAGGGGGAUUGUGAAGUCCGUUGUGUAAGUUUGCGGCUCCACCGUAAAAUUGCAGUUGAAACUGGCAGUCUUUCUUACAGUAGAGGUGGGCGGAUUUCGUGGUGUAGCGG